UUUCCUCCGGACAGAGCCUUAAAUCAAUCUCUUCAGUUUUCCUUGGAGGAAAAGUCUUUGGUGAACCUGUGAACCAGAUAUGACCGGUGAACCUGUGAACCAGAUAUGACCAUUGUCCUCCCAUGAAAAUGUUAGGUACACAAAAUACUUUCUAUAUGCUACUGUUAAGCCCAAAAUACUUUCUCAAAUUAUUGGAUAUGAUAGCAUUAAGACCUGCACUCCUGCAAUCAACAAUAAAAUCAUGCAGACACAUCACCUGUCGGGAAAUUUUUCGAAGAUAGCAGAAGCUGCCAGCUAUCCGCUAGGCAGGAGCUGGGGAAACAGCGGUAUCCCAACUACCAAUCCCAGUAAGUUACAAUGCAAGAUAUUGUUACUCCAGUGUCUUUUCUAGCCAAGUAUCUCUUACUUGUAUACCAUACUUGAAAGUAAAAUUCAAACUCGUGUGUCCAUAUAUUAAUACUGACCGAACAGGCCAAUGGUAUAUAUAAAAACACAGAUAGAACCAUAUGAAAACAUCCCCCUACAGAGUUGGGUAGCUUUCAACUUACAACAGAUGCUCUCUUUUGAUAUAUGUAUAAUAUGCUAAUGUCACAUGGCGUGAUACAACACGAUCAGAAUUAUUCAUCCGGUAUCUGGCUAGAUAUAUUAACAACCACAGUCUCGCACAUAAAUUCUGCAGUAGUCUAUGCCAUUUGAAGAGAUUCUUCGCCCUUGAGAGCGAAUAUCUUUACAAGGACAUCCUCGACAGCCUGUUCAAGUUUAUUUAGAACAAAUCAGUUCAGAAUUAUAUGUUUGGAAUUCAAGAACCUCAACAUCAGAUGUGUGCUGAAAGAGCAAAGGAAGCAAGUAUGACAGAUAUACAGAAACAAUUUGCAAAAAAAUAUAUUACCUUAUCAGGGGUACUUGCACCAGAAGUUACACCUAUUGUUAUAGGGCCUUCAGGUAACCAGUUUUCUUUUUCAACCAGUUCGCCGUGCUGGUAUAAUGGCUUUAAGUUAAUUAAAUGAACAACAUAAUGCAAACUGGAAAUCGUGAUUAAGUUGUUAGGAGACUUACCAUUAACUUAUACGCUAUCUUAUUUCCAGGACCUAUUCUCGUCUCAUUAUCCACCCAGUAGGAUGGUAUUUUAUAUUCCUCUGCAAUUUCUUGUAGGUGUGAUGUGUUGCUUGAAUUCCAGCCGCCAACAACUAACAUAAGAUCUAGCUUAUCUCCCACCAGCUUAUACAUAGCAUCUUGUCGCUCCUAAAGAAAUAUCAGCAUUAGGCACAAAAGGUAAGGUACUGCACUGGUAGCACUUAGCAGAUAGCUAGUUGUGAAUAUAUAUUUACACAUACAGGCUGAUGACAUUAAGAUGUAUAUAGUGCCUUCUAUCUGUAAAAUUUAUGUAAUUGGCAGUUCCACUAAUAAUUUCAGUACCGCACUACCGCCAAUUUGUCAAAUGGUACAAAAAAAUAACUUGGACUUGCAUGAAGUUGAUUAUUUUGUAUCCUGUGUGAAAAUAGACCAUUGACAUGUUGAUCACUUUGUCAAGGAAUGAUCUAGGUCAUUUACAGCAAUUGUUUAAAGAGAACUUAAGAUAAAUCCAUGUCAACAGUCUAAUGAGUCCUGCUGUAAGUUUG
This 1619-nucleotide long non-coding RNA is filed under the name Daucus carota (carrot). Its description in RNAcentral is "long non-coding RNA (DCAR_LNC004267)". Lineage: Eukaryota; Viridiplantae; Streptophyta; Magnoliopsida; Apiales; Apiaceae. The record is from RNAcentral.